Molecule: long non-coding RNA, 2562 nt
Organism: Cebus imitator (Panamanian white-faced capuchin)
Lineage: Eukaryota; Metazoa; Chordata; Mammalia; Primates; Cebidae
Exons: 4
Source: RefSeq, a predicted model, not a curated record
CUCAAAGGAUCUUCCCACCUCAGCCUCAAGAAGACAACAGAAGAUGGCACUGAAGGCUUUGGCUCUGGAAAAAGAGUUACCUGGAUACUGAUCCUGACAUCUCUCACUUAAACUCUACAAGUCUCACUUUCUCAUCAGAUAGUACUUUAAUCAGCAUUUAAUGACCCAGUCGAAAAUUCAUCGUUUGGACCCAAGCACUGGUGGGAAUGCAGGAGGAGAGGCCUGCCUGCCUGCCUUGCUCCCUCCCUCCUGAGCCCUACAGCAGGCCAUGGAGUGGUAGGCUUGGCCCAUUCUCUAGACCUUGGAAGAUAAUGUUCCAUAGAGGCUUGUUCUGAGGCUUUACCAGGACAAACCAGAGAAGAACCAAGCAAUGUAACUCAUCCCAGCCUAACUAUCCUUCAAGGGCAAUCAACCUACAGCAUCCAAGCACAGAGAAAUCAAAUCCAUGGAGAAUCUUUCAGUUAGGCUCAGAAUUUAUUUGGGACACUGGAUUCACUGUUCUCAAGAUCUUAGUUGUGUUCAUCCAUGAUUUGACCUACUUUAGAGUGAGAAGAUAGUCUUCCUGGGCUCAGACUAGUUGAAGGUAAGGAGACAGGCCACUGGGUGUGGGGAGACCUCUCGUGGGAUAAUACACACACAAAACCAAGAGCUGCUCACUGUGGUGCAGGAGACAGCAGGGGCCUGAAGCCAGAGGUUCUCUCUGUGUCCUUGAAUACACUUUACUCCUCUGACCCCUUACUGUGAUUUGGAGAGAGACAGUAUAGGAUGGGCUCUGCAGGCAGGGAGGUCUGGUUAUAGUCCCAGCUCUUCCUAAAUUGGGUAAGACUCAUUCUGAGACUUAGUUUCCUCUAUCAUCUCUCAAUAGAACCAUAAAGGUACUUUCUUCUUAGUAUUGUUUUAAAAUUCAGUAAAAUAAUAAAAGCUUAGCACAGGGUCUGAUAUAAAUUUUCAAUGAAUUAUUGUUGUCAAUAUUGUUCUAGAAAACAAGAGAGCAUAUUAGAAGAUCAAAAGUACUGCCAACCACUGAAGUGCCAAUUCUAGAUCCAGUCUCAGCCUUUUGAGAACUGAUAUCGUUGUUUUCAAGCCAUUCAAAAACCAAUGUGAAUUGAAGACCUAGUAUGAGCCCUCUGGGGGAAGAGCCAAGUCCUGCAUUUUUUAUCUUAAGGGGUCUUCAGUUACUCUCGCCCACAACAGUAUCUCCAUUAGGAUUCCUCUCUGAUAGUGUUCAUUUCUUUUUUCUCGAUGGAUGCCUUAAAAAAAAAAUCCUUGAAGAAAACCUGUACUCCUCAAAUAUACCACUCAGGAAACCUGUUCUCCUCAAUGGUCACUCAGGUGACCAUUAAAUCAUUUACAUGUUAAUUGCUUUUCAGAUAUGUGUCUUUUUCCCUAGUUACAUAAUGAGAACCUUGAAGGCAGGGACAGAUCUUAGACUUCCUGAUGCCCCCAUACAUCUAGGUACAGAGUAGGUCCCUGGACAUCCGUAUAAGGCCCAUGAGCCUGAUAGCUGCCCAGGUGGGUACUGUGUGCCUGGGCCUGGGAAGGACAAAAGAAAGGGCACUAAAGGGGUUCCUGGGAAUGAAGAGGCCCUCUGACUUUAGAAGGGAGCCCAUACACUUUUUGGACUGGAACAAUCAGAAAGUUCUUUCUGGAGCAGCAGCAGCCAGAAAGACCUGGGGCACUGGGUGGACCAAAGCCCUUCCCAAGGCUGCAGUGGCCCCAGCCAGUUAGCCCAGCCUCCCUACCAGCCCCAGGGUUGCAACUGAACAGUGCUGGCCUCUUAAUAAAAACAGCACCAAAGCAAAGCCCUAACUUCACUGGAGAAAUAGCCCUGCGCCCUUCCAUCCAUUAACAUUUUGCACCUUAAUGCGGCCAUAUUUUUGGAAAGCCAAUUCAUAUUGGCUGAGUAGCUUAUUGGUAUGCAGCUCUGGUUAGGGGUGGGGGAUCCUGGGAGGGGGGCACUCUGCAAAGGGGAUGUAAUUAAGCCUCAGAAUGGUCGAUAUAUACCCCAAAAGGGGGGGCGGUACUUGGGGGACCUAGAGCAAGACUGAUGGGCUUGUCCAAAAGGUUUGUGUGUAUGAAGGCUUGACCGUUUCUGGGAAGUCCCACCGUGACUGCCACCCUUGCUCACCCCUGGCCCCCACCAGAGCAGGGCCACCCACUCACCCUUUGGGUGUCUAACUUCGAAUUUCCCAAGCAGACCCUAUCGGGCAGCUCUUCUAAAAUAAAAUACAUCAUCAUUUGCUCCAUUAGAAAAUAAAUGUAUGGCUAUAUUAUGGGAUUUGCAUUCCAUUACCUUGGUUUGCAUGCCAUAAAACAUUUAUUACACCCUUGGGCUAAAGUCUUAAUAAUGACUGGGUGUGAGGCACUAAUGUGGUGCUGGUCUUGCUCAGGAACCAGAGAUUAAUGCCUUUUGAUGUCACUCAGCUAAUAGUUGUGCUCACCAAUUUGUCCCAUCAGAAGACAUUAGAGUCAGGCCCUGUGCAAGGGUGGGGGAACCACGGCUCAGCUUCAGCUGGGAAUCGAGGCUCUCUGUUCAAAACUGCCGGAAUGAAAUCUCAGAGU